Molecule: long non-coding RNA, 241 nt
Filed under: Ricinus communis (castor bean)
Lineage: Eukaryota; Viridiplantae; Streptophyta; Magnoliopsida; Malpighiales; Euphorbiaceae
Description: long non-coding RNA (RCOM_LNC002164)
Source: RNAcentral
UUACUUUGGUCUCCAGAAUUCCACUCCCUUCUUGAUAAAGUAUUUGCCACCUUGUUCUCAACUCCUUUUCUGUAUAGUAUAUUAUAAACAAGACCCAACAACUUUGUCAACCCUUUCUUUUGAACAUUAGUAGUUAUUCUUUGCUCCAACAUAUGCUUAAUGAUCUCAUGAUCUGUCUUAAUAAUUAAGUGAGCAUUCUCCAAGUAAUACCUCCACUUACUAAUAAUAAAGAGUAUUGCUA